Molecule: long non-coding RNA, 3725 nt
Filed under: Oncorhynchus mykiss (rainbow trout)
Lineage: Eukaryota; Metazoa; Chordata; Actinopteri; Salmoniformes; Salmonidae
Description: lncRNA (ENSOMYG00000075621.1)
Source: RNAcentral
CGCACACUAAAGGGAGAGUGUAAAAGAGACCUGAAGGAGAUUACGAUGAGUUGGUUAAAUCCUCUCUCUACUUUCCUCUCCCAGUCUGUCUGCCUGCUGUUGCUGCUGUGUGUGUGAACAUCAGACAGACUAGUAAAUGUUCUCUCCUGCCAACACAGAGAUGAGAGCAUACUGUAGACAAAGACUCUUUCAAAUACCAUAUCCCUCUCUCUCGCUCAGUCUCUCUCUCUGUCUCUCGCUCAGUCUCUCUCUCUCUCUCUCUCUCUCUCUCUCUCUCAGUCUCUCUCAGUCUCUCUUAGUCUCUCUCUCUCUUUUAGUCUCUCUUCCUCUCUCUUUAGAUAUCUCUCUCUCUCUCUCUUUGUGUUUGUAUGUGUGUUCCUAUGUGUGUCCUUAGAUUGUGUCCUCUUAGAAUGGGAGCAACUCAUUAGGUUGUGUGUGGUUUUGUGGAGGAAUUCUUUAUGAGUCACAACAAUGUAACUGAUAUGACAGGGUUUGAUAUGUUGUGACUCAUAGUAACCUAACACUGUAACUGAUAUGACAGGGUUUGAUAUGUUGUGACUCAUAGUAACCUAACAAUGUAACUGAUAUGACAGGGUUUGAUAGGUUAUUAUGAGUAACAACACAACAAUGUAACUGAUAUGACAGGGUUUGAUAGGUUGCUAUGAGUCACAACAUAACAAUGUAACUGAUAUGACAGGGUUUGAUAGGUUAUUAUGAGUAACAACACAACACAACAAUGUAACUGAUAUGACAGUGUUUGAUAGGUUGCUAUGAGUUACACACAACAAUGUAACUGAUAUGACAGGGUUUGAUAGGUUGCUAUGAGUCACAACACAACAAUGUAACUGAUAUGACAGGGUUUGAUAGGUUGCUAUGAGUCACAACACAACAAUGUAACUGAUAUGACAGGGUUUGAUAGGUUGCUAUGAGUCACAACAUAACACUGCUUUCAUUGUAAAUGCAAACAGUAAAAAGUACAGGUAUGUUUAUCCCUGUUUCAUUCCGUUUGCUUCCGUUUAAGAAACGUGUUUCAACAGAAUCGGCGGAAUGAAAAAAAAUCAAAGCAAACUUAAACUCAAACUCAAAGCAAACUUUGUCACACGCGCCAAAUACAACAAGUGUAAACUUUACCAUGAAAUGCUUACUUACAAGCCCUUAACCAACAGUGCAGUUCAAUACAAUAAACCCCUGAUCACCGCUAAAACACAGUUCACUUUCUGAGCAGCCACAUACAAAACAGCAUGAUCAUUUGCUUUGUUGUAUAAUUCUUUCUCUCAUUUACGCGUUCUCCUCCUCUCACCUUAUCCCUUCGCUUGGGGACAUCAGUGCAUAAUACAACAGCUGUCUGUAACCAGGCAACACCAAAAAAAACUUUUCAAGCCAAACCUUCGUAUCAUAACCACAAUACACAGCCAACAUCGUUGUCACCAUAUUAGCUAAAGUAACGUUAUAGUCAACAUAGCAUGCUACUAGAACUAACUAAUAAACCCACUACGAUCUACAAUAGUCUAGGAGCGACAGGAACAUUGACUGAAUAAUCUGCUUUCAACUAUUUAGCGAGAAGCGGGAACUAUUUCUAUAGAAGAAGCCCAUGUUUAUUCUCAGCUUCUGAACUAACUCUGAACUAACUGAACUAUGCUCAGAUACUUGUAAGCAGGGACACGAUCAAUACGGACACCAUCCAGAGUACAUUAUGCUUUAAAAUCGCCAGAGUUAUGUUGAUGUGCUCUAGAGAACAACAUAUACCUGGUUAUACCUGCAAUCAGUACUAAUUUAAAAUCGUCAGAGUUAUGUUGAUGUGCUCUAGAGAACAACAUAUACCUGGUUAUACCUGCAUUCAGUACUAAUUUAAAAUCGCCAGAGUUAUGUUGAUGUGCUCUAGAGAACAACAUAUACCUGGUUAUACCUGCAUUCAGUACUAAUUUAAAAUCGCCAGAGUUAUGUUGAUGUGCUCUAGAGAACAACAUAUACCUGGUUAUACCUGCAUUCAGUACUAAUUUAAAAUCGCCAGAGUUAUGUUGAUGUGCUCUAGAGAACAACAUAUACCUGGUUAUACCUGCAUUCAGUACUAAUUUAAAAUCGCCAGAGUUAUGUUGAUGUGCUCUAGAGAACAACAUAUACCUGGUUAUACCUGCAUUCAGUACUAAUUUAAAAUCGCCAGAGUUAUGUUGAUGUGCUCUAGAGAACAACAUAUACCUGGUUAUACCUGCAUUCAGUACUAAUUUAAAAUCGUCAGAGUUAUGUUGAUGUGCUCUAGAGAACAACAUAUACCUGGUUAUACCUGCAUUCAGUACUAAUUUCAGGUCAAUAAAGUUUUUUCUGUAUUACGAUGAAGGCAGACUGUAGUUCAGAUCGAGCCUGGUCAACCGUGGGGGGCAAUAGCAUACACAACAGUAUCAUCGGUAUCCAAGUGCGGGUAAAACUUUUUUUUUUUUACAGACACGUUGACAUUGUUAAUGCAAACAGUAAAAAGUACAGGACCCAGGAUCGACCCCUGCGGGACACCUUUCAUAAUAUCCAGAAAACCUGAUUUUACACCAUCAGUAGAUACACCUUGAGAUCUAUCUGUCGAGUCAUUUUUAAACCAGUUACAUGCAGUAUGGUCUAGGCCAAUGGAGGAAAGCCUCUGAACUAGCAGUGAGUGAUUAACAGUAUACAAAGACUUUGACAGAGAGGGCAGCACAAUGUUGCCUUUAAUCCAUUAACCUCAUCAUUUAUAACUAGAGAUGCAGCAGAGACAGUGCUACGACCUGGUCUCAAACCCGACUGAUGUACAUUUAGAACACAUUUCAAAGAUAAUAAAGAUUUUAGCUGAAUCAAGGAUUCUAAUAUUUUUUGCUAGGCAACAAAGUUUAGAAUUAGGGUGAUCAUCAAUUAGGUCACAAGGGUCACCAACUUUUGUGAAGGGGGAGGUACAUGGACCACGUUCCAAACCUUGGGGAUAGUACCAGAUAUCAUCGUCAGGUUAGGGGGGAUACAUGGACCCCGUUCCAAACCUUGGGGAUAGUACCAUAUAUCAUCAUCAGGUUAGGGGGAGUACAUGAACCACAUUCCAAACCUUGGGGAUAGUACCAGAUAUCAUCGUCGGGUUAGGGGGGGGGUACAUGGACCCCGUUCCAAACCUUGGGGAUAGUACCAGAUAUCAUCAUCAGGUUAGGGGGGGGGGGUACAUGGACCCCCUUCCAAACCUUGGGGAUAGUACCAGAUAUCAUCGUCGGGUUAGGGGGGGUACACGGACCCCCUUCCAAACCUUGGGGAUAGUACCAGAUAUCAUCGUCGGGUAAAACAUCAGGGUAAAUGAUUCAGGGGGGCAGAGAGCGGCAGCAGAAACAGAUCAAGCACAUCAGCCCCAGUGGAUUUUGUUUACAUCCAUCUUAAGCGAGGGGUCAGGCACAUCACAGAGAGCACAUUGCUCAAAUGAAAACCAAUAUUCACUGGAAGUUGCCGCGGUAACCGUCGUCGCUCAGAAGGAAUCCAAGCGUCAGAUCUGUCUUUGACUUUGAAAUUCUCUAGAGCCAUCUCAGGGUCAGGAAUACAAGAGACAGUGGCUCAAUCAGAGUACAACACAUCCUGUAAAAAAAAACCCUUGAGGAGAGAGCUUUAUCAAAUGUCUCUUCAGUGGUUUGAUUGUUGGACUAGUAACCGGAAGGCUGCAAGUUCAAAUCCCAGAGCUGACAAGGUACAAAUCUGUAAUUCUGCCCCUGAACAGUUAAUCCACUGUUCCU